ACGAGGGGGGCAAGCGUUGUUCGGAAUUAUUGGGCGUAAAGGGUGCGUAGGCGGUUUGGUAAGUCUCUUGUGAAAUCUCUGGGCUCAACUCAGAGUCUGCAAGGGAAACUGCCGGGCUUGAGUGUGGGAGAGGUGAGUGGAAUUUCCGGUGUAGCGGUGAAAUGCGUAGAUAUCGGAAGGAACACCUGUGGCGAAAGCGGCUCACUGGACCACAACUGACGCUGAUGCACGAAAGCUAGGGGAGCAAACAGGA
This 253-nucleotide ribosomal RNA is filed under the name uncultured prokaryote. RNAcentral describes it as "partial 16S ribosomal RNA". It matches the Rfam family "Bacterial small subunit ribosomal RNA", at positions 525 to 777 of the family's 1533-position model. The record is from RNAcentral.